This is a long non-coding RNA of Triticum aestivum (bread wheat), 1661 nucleotides long. RefSeq lists it as uncharacterized. Lineage: Eukaryota; Viridiplantae; Streptophyta; Magnoliopsida; Poales; Poaceae. The record is from RefSeq and is a predicted model, not a curated record. The transcript has 6 exons.
AAAAUUGUCCCGAGCACGUCAUCCCCAACCUCUCGACCUUAUCCUCCCACCGCGCCGCGACGCCUGCCCGACCUUGCACAGCGCCGCCCCCAUCUUGCCCGACCUUCCACCGCGCCAACCCACCCAGCCUCCCACCGCGCCGCGCCGCCCGCCCCACCAGGCCUCCCACCGCGCCGCGCCGCCCCGCCCGGCCUCCCAGCGCGCCGCCCCGCCCGCCCGGCCUCCCAUCGCGCGGCGCCGCCCCGCACGGCCUUCCUCCGCGCCACCCGGCCUCCCACCGCGUAGCGUCGGCCCGCCCGACCUCCCACCGCAACGCACCCUCCCGCUACAGGUCUCACCCUCCCUCGGCUGCAGGUCGCGGCCCCCCGCGGCUGCAGGUCGCGGAUUCGACCUCGUCGCUGCACAUAGGGACCGUGGCCUCCCCCGCGUGUGGUCGCCUCCGUCCUGCUUCGGCCCGUUUCCGGCCGUGCAUAGACUGAUUGAACUGACGGGCUUGAUCCCCUUCGACAGUUGCAGCUUCACCAAUGUUGCCGUUCAACAACGCAGCGAUCUGAGGGGAGAAGACAAACUAAAUGAUUCAGUUCAUCAUUGGCAUCCUUGUGAACAGUUCUGAAGAUAGCUUUCAGAGACUAAUUACGUGAUAUUUCUCUCAAACUUUUUCUACAAAUAGCCUGGGACUUCCACUGACUGUGCCACUGCUUCAGCAUCCACCAUCAGUGGCAUUGGCCGCCCUCUGAGCCAAAUCUUGGCGCUCCCAGCCGCUGCUCCUGGACCCCGCCUCCAUCAGCUCCACUUCACCAGAGCCGCCAGUCCGCAUGAGUAGGGGUAGCGUAUCCCCCUACAGCGGUCAAAUCCCGGUGCACCCAGCCGGUUCUCUUGAACCCCGCCUCCAUCAGCUCCACUUCACUGGAGCCGUCAGUCCGCAGGAGUAGGGGUAGCAGGUUCACCCAACGUCCGACGCCUUCUUCCAUCUCCAAAAAUCUUGUUUUUGAGUUCAGUUCUUCAUCACAUGUUUCACUAGCUGGAAUUGCUUGACGAACAGAGCAAAGGGCCCAAACCCACUAUCGUGCAAGAAAAAGAAAUCAAAGCCCCAACCAUCAGCUGCUCAAAUCAUUAGGAAAAAACAUUUUCAGGUUAUUGGUGCCGCUGGAUAACUGUCAUAGUUUGUCGCCAGCAAAGUCCUCGAACUUGGUCUACACCAGUAGUAGAACUUACUGGUUCUCCGUGACCUAAAGUUGAAAACAGACAAAAAUUCUCAAGAAUUGAGGCUUCGCCAAGGAACAAGACUGGUAACUAGCGCAAAGGAGACUAUGUCGAGAGGUGGCACUGCUAGACUUGCUGAUGUGUAGUUAUGGCAUAAAAAAGAUGAAAAAAAUUUUUCUUGUAUGAUUCCAUAAGCUGUACAUAGCAAAUCUUCCCAUGUGGAUCAGUACAACUUAUGUACGGCCUUGAGUUCACAAAUCUUAUAGUAAUCUUUGUAGUACUUUUCGUAACACUAAGUAAAGCAAGAGUAGCCCUUUUUUUGUGAGCAACAAUUCAAACGAAUCUGUUGUAUCAGUUCUUAUGAUAGAUAGAAGAUAAAACAAGAAAGAGAAGCCCUUUUUUUGUAUAAGUUCUGUUGAAUCUGUUGUAUCAGCAAGAGUAGCCCUUUUUUUGUAUAA